UGUGACCGCAAGGAGCGUCCUAAGGUAAAACCAGUAACUGGGGCUAAGUCGUAACAAGGUAGCCGUACCGGAAGGUGUGGCUGGAACACCUCCUUU
This 96-nucleotide ribosomal RNA is filed under the name Bacteroidales bacterium. Its description in RNAcentral is "partial 16S ribosomal RNA". It matches the Rfam family "Bacterial small subunit ribosomal RNA", at positions 1429 to 1533 of the family's 1533-position model. The record is from RNAcentral. Lineage: Bacteria; Pseudomonadati; Bacteroidota; Bacteroidia; Bacteroidales.